CACGCAGGCCGGGUGACCGCGGGCGGCGUAGCCGCUCGAGGAAAGUCCGGACACCACAGGGCAGGACGCUGGGGAAACCCCAGGCGGCGAAAGCCGACGGACAGUGGCACAGAAAACAAACCGCCACCGGCGUGAUCUCCGGAGACGCCGGCGGUAAGGGUGAAACGGUGGGGUAAGGGCCCACCAGCGUCGUGGUGACACGGCGGCUAGCCAAACCCCGUCCGGUGCAAGGUGAAACAGGCUCCGCAGGCUGCCCGCCCAGGAGCCGGGUACACCGCUAGAGCCGUCGCGAGAGCGGCGGCCGAGAGAGAUGGUCACCCAAGACAGAAUCCGGCUUA
This 338-nucleotide RNase P RNA is filed under the name Actinomycetota bacterium. RNAcentral's name for it is "partial RNase P RNA component class A". It matches the Rfam family "Bacterial RNase P class A". From Rfam's summary of the family: Ribonuclease P (RNase P) is a ubiquitous endoribonuclease, found in archaea, bacteria and eukarya as well as chloroplasts and mitochondria. Its best characterised activity is the generation of mature 5'-ends of tRNAs by cleaving the 5'-leader elements of precursor-tRNAs. Cellular RNase Ps are ribonucleoproteins. Lineage: Bacteria; Bacillati; Actinomycetota. The record is from RNAcentral.